UAUAAGCCCUGAUGCAAGCGGUAUCCCAUCUCCUUUUUUCUACGAGAUGGAAUUUAGCGGGCAGCAGGAACUUUG
This 75-nucleotide small RNA is filed under the name Flavobacterium sp. 103. RNAcentral's name for it is "Flavo-1 RNA". The record is from RNAcentral. Lineage: Bacteria; Pseudomonadati; Bacteroidota; Flavobacteriia; Flavobacteriales; Flavobacteriaceae.